UACGUAGGGGGCAAGCGUUGUCCGGAUUUAUUGGGCGUAAAGAGCUCGUAGGCGGUUUGGUAAGUCUGGUGUGAAAUCUCCACGCUCAACGUGGAGGGGCCACCCGAUACUGCCAUGACUGGAGUCCGGUAGAGGAGUGUGGAAUUCCCGGUGUAGCGGUGAAAUGCGUAGAUAUCAAGAGGAACACCAGUGGCGAAGGCGAGUCCCUGGACGAUACCUGACACUGAGGCACGAAAGCCAAGGGAGCGAAACAGG
Molecule: ribosomal RNA, 255 nt
Filed under: uncultured bacterium
Lineage: Bacteria
Description: partial 16S ribosomal RNA
Rfam family: Bacterial small subunit ribosomal RNA
Source: RNAcentral